This 445-nucleotide ribosomal RNA is filed under the name uncultured Bacillota bacterium. Its description in RNAcentral is "bacterial SSU rRNA". It matches the Rfam family "Bacterial small subunit ribosomal RNA", at positions 917 to 1359 of the family's 1533-position model. The record is from RNAcentral. Lineage: Bacteria; Bacillati; Bacillota.
GGGCCCGCACAAGCGGUGGAGCAUGUGGUUUAAUUCGAAGCAACGCGAAGAACCUUACCAAGGCUUGACAUCUUUUUGACCGUAAUAGAGAUAUUACUUUCCUUCGGGACAGAAAUGACAGGUGGUGCAUGGUUGUCGUCAGCUCGUGUCGUGAGAUGUUGGGUUAAGUCCCGCAACGAGCGCAACCCUUAUCCUUAGUAGCCAUCAUUAAGUUGGGCACUCUAGGGAGACUGCCGUGGAUAACACGGAGGAAGGUGGGGAUGACGUCAAAUCAUCAUGCCCCUUAUGUCUUGGGCUACACACGUGCUACAAUGGCUGGAAACAAAGUGAAGCGACACGGUGACGUUAAGCAAAAUCACAAAAACCCAGUCUCAGUUCGGAUUGUAGUCUGCAACUCGACUACAUGAAGCUGGAAUCGCUAGUAAAUCGCGAAAUCAGAAUGUCG